UACUGCAGGUAGCUAAUCCGCAGCCACCUGCUUCUGGAGAUCAGGGUGUCCUGGAAUGGAGGGGCAUGGCAACCCUCUGAAUGCGACGGAAGCGGUUUUGAAGCGGCCCAGGAGUGUUGCUUCAAGGAAGCCAAGGUCCAAGGAGCAGCUAGUUUCUGAGUACAAGGACAUCUCGUGCACACCUUCAUCGCGGAGCAUCUCUCCGGAUGAUGAUGGUGGCGUUGAGGGCAGUGGCCAUCGGAGGAAGGAGUUGUACCUCAAUGGACCUGAAUCUAGGGGCUCCACACCACACAGGAGUGAUGCAUCCAAGAAGAUAAAGAGAGAUGAUAGAGCUGGAGGAGACCAUGAUGGGCACAAUAAGAGCAGCAAAUCAAAGGAUGCCAAGCGUAGUAGUGAGGGAGUCCUGGCUCUUGCCUGCACAAAAAACUCUGGAUCCCCUGAUGGCCAGCCUUUGCCCCCAAAAGACGCUAGUGUGCCAACUGAACAUAAGGUGAGAAAAGUAAAGCUAAAGGUUAGCGGGAUUACUCGACCCAUACAAACGAAAACCAUCCAGGAGGCGAAUGAUGAUGGCAAGCUUAGCACAUCAGACGGCUCUGUUCACCGUCACAAGCAAAAGGAUUCUGGUGGGCAGAAACACCACCAAGACAAGCAUGAUGUUUCACCAUCUUCUGACCUUGUUCGCAAGAGCAAAAGGGUUCCUAAGAAGCGAACACUUGAUGGCGAUUCUGGUGAUGAAGAUGGUAGAUCAGGUUAUCUUGUAAAAUUUAAGAUAGCUAAGGUUGUGCCAGAACAAUCUAUAGCUACUAAUCAUGCUGGAGUGUAUGAUGAAUCUCCUGAAGAUGAUGUUAAGAAAAAGAAGCUGGUCAAGGUUUCCAAAAACAAGAGCCUUCCAUAUGAAGUGGAUGAAGACUUCACUAUGUCCCGAUCUGGCAGGGAUGGUAGGAAGAAGUUGAAACUGGGGGAUGGCAGUGAUUUUAUUGAAGAGGAGGAACCUGAGAUGGAUGAGCCAAAGAAAAGACUAAGCGAAGCUGAUUCACCUUCAGAUGUAAAGAAUGAAACUCCUGGUCUUAUAACCAGGCAGCGUGCUCUUCAAGGCAGGGGUGGGAAUGGUGAUACUUUGAUUGAAUUUCCUGAUGGAUUACCAACUGCUUCAUCAAGAAAGCAAAAGGAGAAGCUUUCUGAAGUGGAGGUACAAGCCAAAAAAGCAGAAGCGGCUCAGAGGCGUAAGAUGCAAGUUGAGAAGGCUGAGAGGGAACAACAGGCUGAAGCAAUGAGGAAAAUCCUGGGUAUUGACACAGAGAAGAAAAAAGAGGAGAAGAAACAGAAAGAGAGGGAUGAGAAGGAAAAGCAAGAAAAAAUAGAAGAAUAUAAAAGAAACUGCAUCCAGUGUGUCAUGGGGCCAGAAGGAACUGUUGUUACAUUCCCUGAGAAUAUGGGCCUUCCAAGCAUAUUUAACUCCAAGCCUACCAGCUAUCCACCUCCAAGGGAGAAAUGUGCAGGCCCUUCUUGCACAAACCCAUACAAGUACCGUGACUCCAAGACAAAGCUUCCACUCUGCAGCUUGCAGUGCUACAAGGCUGUCCAGGGAAGUUCUGAGACGCUAACAUGCUGAAAGGAUGACUGUUUGUGGAGAUGGAGAAUUGUGCUAGUUCCAUUUGCCACCUCGCUGCUUGUUGUUGUGUUGCCUUUGUUACCCUGCCAGUCCCUGACAAUUGAUCAGCCAACAGAGGUGGUGUCGCCUGCUUCAGUCUCAAUUAAGGAUUCAAUUUAGGUGUUGGUGAUUACAAACACCUGUUUGUAACAAGCUACUAGCUUGAGAUGGGCUACAACUUUUAUGGGCCAAACUGAGAACACCAGAAUAUGGGCUGGGCCUAGCCCACAUGCAACUGAUGCUACUUCUGCCGUAGCAUUAAGCCAGCCAGAUAAGUACAUGCUGCCACCAUACCAAAACAAACAAAAGAUUAUACUCAACCGAUCUAUGAAGUAUGAACUGGUGACAGCCUAAUAUGUCAUACUAGUAGUAAAUAAAAUGUACAGGCACGCACAGUUGCAGGCACUUCGCUAAAGCUGCCGAUGCAAUCGUGUUGACCAGAAAAAGAUGAACACGUCCUGUACGUUCGAUUCGUUUGGAUAUGAUCGCACUAUGCAAACGUGUUGACUCCUUCCCUCUCCGAUCCAUUCCAUCUCAUUGCCUUAGCCAUCAUGUAAAAUAGCAAGAGGAUAACCAAAAAGUGAUGGGUGUUUUUGUAUGCAUGCUUGUUUACUACUCCAAGUCAACCAAGCCUUUGAGUGGCCCAAAGCCCCAAACUCUCCAAGACGAAUUGACCUCUUGCU
This is an RNA transcript of Oryza brachyantha (malo sina), 2334 nucleotides long. It is a transcript of the gene named INO80 complex subunit B-like, with no coding region annotated. The record is from RefSeq and is a predicted model, not a curated record. NCBI's taxonomy places the organism in Eukaryota, Viridiplantae, Streptophyta, Magnoliopsida, Poales, Poaceae. The transcript has 7 exons.